AUGGUUCUCACAAAGAAGGAUGGCAAGACAAAAAGGGCCACUCUGCCAUCAACAAGGUGGUGACCUCGUUGAUGAUACACCAUCAACAUUCACAAGCGCGUCCAUGGAGUGGGCUUCAAGAAGUCUGCCCCUUGGGCACUCAAAGAGAUCUGGAAAUUUGCCACGAAGGAGAUGGGAACUCCAGAUUUGCGCAUUGAUACCAGGCCCAACAAAACUGUCUGGGCCAAAGGAAUAAGGAAUGUCCCAUACUGUAACCAUGUGUGGUUGUCCAGAAAAUAUUCUGAGGAUGAAGAUUCACCAAAUAAGCUCUAUACUUCAGUUACCUAUGUACCUGUUACCACUUUCAAAAAUCUGCAGAUAGUCAAUGUGGAUGAGAACUAA
Molecule: long non-coding RNA, 381 nt
Filed under: Homo sapiens (human)
Lineage: Eukaryota; Metazoa; Chordata; Mammalia; Primates; Hominidae
Description: non-protein coding lnc-PEX3-2:1
Source: RNAcentral